RNAcentral lists this ribosomal RNA (854 nucleotides) under uncultured bacterium. RNAcentral's name for it is "bacterial SSU rRNA". It matches the Rfam family "Bacterial small subunit ribosomal RNA", at positions 21 to 906 of the family's 1533-position model. The record is from RNAcentral.
GGCUCAGAAUCAACGCUGGCGGCGCGCCUAACACAUGCAAGUCGCACGAGAAAGCGGGAGCAAUCUCGCAAGUACAGUGGCGUACGGGUGAGUAACACGUGGAUCAUCUACCCUGGAGUGGGGAAUAACGCUGGGAAACCGGCGCUAAUACCGCAUAUUCCCGAGAGGGGAAAGCAGCAAUGCGCUCGAGGAGGAGUCCGCGGCCGAUUAGCUAGUUGGUAGGGUAAAAGCCUACCAAGGCUGUGAUCGGUAGCCGGCCUGAGAGGGCACACGGCCACACUGGCACUGAAACACGGGCCAGACUCCUACGGGAGGCAGCAGUGGGGAAUCUUGCACAAUGGGGGAAACCCUGAUGCAGCGACGCCGCGUGAGCGAUGAAGCCCUUCGGGGUGUAAAGCUCUUUCGGCAGGGAAGAUUAUGACGGUACCUGCAGAAGCAGCUGCGGCUAACUACGUGCCAGCAGCCGCGGUAAUACGUAGGCAGCAAGCGUUGUUCGGAGUUACUGGGCGUAAAGGGUGUGUAGGCGGCCUGUUAAGUUCCGUGUGAAAUCUCCCGGCUCAACCGGGAGGGUGCGCGGAAAACUGGCGGGCUAGAGUGCGGGAUGGGAGAGUAGAAUUCCUGGUGUAGCGGUGAAAUGCGUAGAUAUCAGGAGGAAUACCGGUGGUGUAGACGGCUCUCUGGACCGCAACUGACGCUGAAACACGAAAGCGUGGGUAGCAAACAGGAUUAGAUACCCUGGUAGUCCACGCCCUAAACGAUGCAUAUUUGGUGUAGGUCAUUCAGUUGAUCUGUGCCGGAGCUAACGCGUUAAAUAUGCCGCCUGGGGAGUACAGUCGCAAGGCUGAAACUCAAAG